UACGUAGGGGGCAAGCGUUGUCCGGAUUUAUUGGGCGUAAAGCGCGUGUAGGCGGCCACACAGGUCCGUUGUGAAAACUCGAGGCUUAACCUCGAGACGUCGAUGGAAACCGUAUGGCUAGAGUCCGGAAGAGGAGAGUGGAAUUCCUAGUGUAGAGGUGAAAUUCGUAGAUAUUAGGAAGAACACCAGUGGCGAAGGCGGCUCACUGGUCCGGUACUGACGCUGAGGUGCGAAAGCGUGGGGAGCAAACAGG
RNAcentral lists this ribosomal RNA (253 nucleotides) under uncultured bacterium. RNAcentral's name for it is "partial 16S ribosomal RNA". It matches the Rfam family "Bacterial small subunit ribosomal RNA", at positions 524 to 776 of the family's 1533-position model. The record is from RNAcentral.